Portunus trituberculatus (swimming crab) is the source of this 798-nucleotide long non-coding RNA. RefSeq lists it as uncharacterized. The transcript is spliced from 3 exons. Lineage: Eukaryota; Metazoa; Arthropoda; Malacostraca; Decapoda; Portunidae. The record is from RefSeq and is a predicted model, not a curated record.
AUUCCGAUUAUAUAAUACACAUCAGUGGGUAAUAUAUUAGCAUGCUGUUAUGAGACAUGCAUUGAGACGAAGACAAGAAGCACGAGUCAUGGGUGGUGAUGCUUAGAAAAUAAAGUACUAUCUAUGGAUUCGGAGACCAGCCACAUCACAGCCACGCGCCUCGACUCACGUGAUCAGUGCGUGGCAAGAAAGCUGUGGUGAUUCUGCGAUGGGCAUUCCCGGCGGCUCGGUAGUGAUUGCGUACUCUUUUAUUCACCCGCGCGUGUGUGUGUCUGCGUGUGUGCGUAUUUUAUCAAGUCAUCGGUCCUUCACCUCAUCAUCAUCUCGUCAUUACGGUAAGUACACAUACUCAGCUCAUCGCUUCGCGGGACAUCGCUGGAGCUCCUCGUCGAAACAUGAGUACAAAGUUACGUUUCCUAGGCGGUAGGAUAGGGUAUCAGGCUACUAACCCUCUUCCCUUGCAGGUGCACUAAUUUCCUAGAUUAUUCGGCAGAUAGCGCAGCACGGGGUAACGCCAUGCCAAGGGAUGAAGCAAUUCUCUGUGGCGAAUUGGCGCGGAGAUGAACACCAGUGGAGUGCCGCAUCUAAAAAGCAUUCCGGUAGAGAUUUGACGGCGACGAGGUAACACGAGGAAGAGGUGAUACGUUCCGCCGCCGCCGUGAUGACAAGCUGCAAAUCCAAGAUAGAAGCUCAAGGAGAAAAUCUGUUGCUUGGUUAUGAUGAAACACAUAUUAAUGGAGGUGGGAAGCACAAAGUGAAAAGACGUGCAAAGAGCAGCAGUCCAUGGUGAAAGGUACG